Molecule: long non-coding RNA, 2652 nt
Filed under: Lathyrus oleraceus (garden pea)
Lineage: Eukaryota; Viridiplantae; Streptophyta; Magnoliopsida; Fabales; Fabaceae
Description: Pisum sativum (pea) long non-coding RNA (PSAT_LNC010488)
Source: RNAcentral
CAGUAUUUACAUGUACAAAACCCAAUUUGGAAACCAAUUUGAAAACCAUCUAACUUCCAUUCAAUCUAUUACGAUCCAUUUACAAUCCAUUCGAUCCAUUACAUUGAUCAUUACAUGAAAAAUUACAAAUUUUAGCAACUUUGACCAAGUGUUGACUUUGGUCAACAAUUGACUUUUUGGUCAACUUUGACCAACGUCAACUCAUCCCUUUUUGGCCACCUAAGAUAUAAUCUAAUCCACCUUGCCUUGAUUCAUCAUCUAAAGGUCAUGUUGGUUUGCUUGUGCCAUGUUUCUUCAUUUAUAAGUAACAUUGUCCAUGUUCAUAAUCAUGUCCACCAAGCCUACAAAAACAACCAAUAUCAUAACCAUAUAAAUUAGCACAUUGUCAUGAACUUCAAACAGAAACAGGCCAAUGAUGCAUCACAUAAUACUCCAUCAUCCAAGAAAACAUGAGCUAAUGGUUAAGUUGAGAUACCUUAAUCCAAGUUACAUGGCCUUUGGUUCUGAUCAAAUAAGAUGGCCUAGCUAUUACAUCUCCGUAACCUGUCCAAGUCAGAAUGUGAUUUCCUGUAGCAGACUUAUGAAAUCCUGCAAAGAAAAAUCAUGACAGCUCAGGACCUACUACACCAUGCCUAGCAUCCUUCAGCCUGCAGCCAACACACCAGAUCAUGCCCAAUCUGCAACAUAAACCCAAGAAUUGAAUCAACCUACAAAGCACCAAGUUGAAUCACUUGCAGAAUUCCUAGAAGGACUUCAUAACACAGCAAAAUGAUAUAAGUUGCAGCUAACAUGACCUGCAACACAUCAUAACAACCUGCCAUAAAAUAUGCCAACUACUAGAAAGCAUGGACUCACUAUGCCAAAACCAGUUGACUUGCACAAAAGUCAUGAGUUCAUGGUACACCAGGAUUUGCCUUGCAACUUUGUUGAGCAAUGCCUUACAUCAACCUGCAGAGUUUGCAACAAAAUUACAACAACACAUCAGUCCUAGUAAUCUGGCAUGCAGCCAUUCCAUCCGCACUAUGGUGGACACAAAAACAUAGAGAAGAACAUUACCACACCUGCAAUAGAAUACAAGCAUGCACCAAAUAAAAUCCUACAACAAACCAGGUUGUGGAUUGGGGGCAAUUCAUGAACUUUGAUCCAACUUGUAGCAAGAUAAUGUGAAACAAUUUACAUUGCAAAAGACCUUACCUGCCAGGAAUAACGUGCACAAGUUCAUAUCUAACAGUUCAUAUACCUGCACAACCACAAACCUGUCUCAAAUCCAAGUCAUACCUACAGGAUCCUUUCAUUGCCAAAACAAAGCCAUGAUUCAUAUGCAUGCCACAAACCACUUGUUACAAACCCUACAAAGGCAGUGGCCCAUGACCUAAACCAAUCUACAAGUAAACAAGGCAAAGCAUAAUCAGCUCAAUGCCAACACCAGAAUUGACUCAAAACUGAUUUGGUUUAACACAUUGAAGUUAUGACUACAAGGCCAAUUAAGUCAGAAUAUGGAUAACUCACAACACAACAAGUUCAUUAUAAAUUCAACUUCAAAUUCACUUGAAAAUUGGCUUCAAAUUCAUUUCAAAUUAACACGAAUGCCUUACACCAACAGUCCAAUGCAAUAGAGGCAUGAGCACAUGGAAACAUGUUUUGACCUGCAGUCCAACACCAAGCAAUGUAUAAAAGUUAACAUUAACCAAUAACAUAACACUGCCUAAACUAAUUCAUAAGUUCCAAUUGGUGUUAAGGAGUGAACUUGUUCAGCAAGUCAUCUCUCAAGCUUUAAGACCAAUUCCACUUAAAACUAUAACCUGCAUUAGCCAGUCAAAAUAAGCUCAGACUUGUAACAUUCACUCAUAAAAAAAACCUAACUAACUAAUUCAAUCAACUAACUGACAACUCAUUGAGUUAACAGAUUGAACUCACUGAGUUCAUCUUAACCAACUCCUAAACAACUUCCAAACCUAACCAUAACUAACUCCAAAUCUCAUCAAUUCCAAACCUAAUGCCUAUAUAUUUCACUCUCCAUCAUCAUUGUGAGGACCUUUGGAUCAAAUUUCAAAUCCUUGCACUCUCUAAGUUUCCUUCCUCUCCCUAAAUCUCACUACACGCACAAUCCAAAAGCCAUUGAAGCUCAUCAUUAGAGCUUCAAUACAACUUAUGCUAAGCCUCUCCAAUCCAAUACCAAGGCAUUCAUUUCACCAUUUUCGAACCCAGAAGAAAGAGAAUAAGAAGAGGUUAUAACUAGUACAAGAAGCAGGCAGUGCAAGGCAUUACCUGGAAUCAAAUCAUCACCGUCGCGACUUCCAGCAAGGUAAUUCUGUAAACCUUCGCAUUUCUUCAAUGCUUGGUUACCAGUAUGUAGAGAGUGAAGAGAGGAUUUGAAGCCCUCAUCCCUAGGGCUUUGAAUCAUUGAGGUUAGAAUUUAAUUUGAGGAUUACACUUUAGGGUUCUUGGAGAGUGGAGCUUCGGUUAGGGUUGUGAGGCUCCGAUUUCGUGAAAUUGACUAAGGAUCCAAGCAGAGCGUGAGGAGAUGAACUUUUUGUUAACUCCGGUGUGUGUUUUGGUGGCCACCGUCGCCGGAAGCGACUUCCGGCGCGGUGGCCCGUGGCGUGUCUGGCGAGGCAUUUUAGAGGGAAUGAGUGUUUGGCCCUUUCAAAU